AACUGAAUGGAUGACGCCUUUUAGGUUUCAAAUUCAUACACGUCUCUCCUUUCAUCUGGACUACUACCUGACUCACCUCUUAUCCAAAUUCAUGGUCUGAAUUUGUAACUUAAUUGCUAUAUUAUUGAUAAACAUUUAGCUCCAAAUUAAAAAGUUUUUAGGGAGUUCCCGUCGUGGCACAGUGGUUAACGAAUCUGACUAGGAACCAUGAGGUUGCGGGUUUGGUCCCUGCCCUUGCUCAGUGGGUUAACGAUCCGGCGUGGCCGUGAGCUGUGGUGUAGGUCGCAGACGUGGCUCGGAUCCUGCGUUGCUGUGGCUCUGGCGUAGGCCGGUGGCUACAGCUCCGAUUCAACCCCUAGCUUGGGAACCUCCAUAUGCCGUGGGAGCGGCCCAAGAAAUAGCAACAACAACAACAACAAAAGACAAAAAGACAAAAAAAAAAAAAAAAAAAAGUUUUUAACGGCACAACCACUAUGGAAAACAGUAUGGAGGUACCUCAGAAAACUAAGUGUAGAAGUAUCAUAUCAUCCAACAAUCCCACUCUUAGGCAUAUAUCUGGACAAAAGUUGAAUUCAAAAUAAUACCUGCACCCCUGUGUUCACGGCAGCACUAUUCGCAAAAGCCAAGACAUGGAAACAACCUAAAUGUCCAUCAGCAGAUGGAUGGAUGAAGAAGAUGUACACACACACAAUGGAAUACUACUCAGCCAUAAAAAAGAAAAAAAAUAAUACCAUUUGCAGCAACAUGGAUGGAACUAGAGACUCUCACACUAAGUGAAAUCAGUCGGAAAGAGAAAGACAAGCACUAUAUGACACCACUUAUAUCUGGAAUCUAACAUACGGCACAGAUGAGCCUUUCCACAGAAAAGAAACAAACUCAACUUGGAGAACAGACUUGCUGAAGGAGAGGGAGGGGGAGUGGGAUGGACUGGGAGUCUGGAGUUGACAGAUGCAAACUCCUGCCUUUGGAGUGGAUGAGCAAUGAGACCCUGCGUAGCCCAGGGAGCUCUAUCCAGUCCCUUAGCAUGGAGCGUGAUGGAGGAGCAAGUGAGAAAAAGAAUGCCUAUGACUGGGUCACUUUGUUGUACAGCAGGAAUUGACAGAACAUGGUAAAUCGACUGUGAUAGAAAAAACAAAAUCUUAAAAAAAUAUGAAGCCUUCCAAGUUUGUCUGUUUCGGGGAAAGGUUUAUCAGUUGCUGCUUCAUGGUUAUUCGUGCGGUGUGCCUUCCGGAAGUGCUGGAUUCUUUCCGCUUUGAGGUGCUCUUGCCAUUGCCGCUGUUCUAAGACAGGCCCUGAAGGGAAACCCUGAGAGCACCCCCCCCCCACUUGUUACUCGGAUGUGACCCCCAUAGGUCUCCCUGUGGCGCACACGCCUCUCCAUUGGGGACACGUCCCCAGGAAACGUCCUCCCUGGCAUGGAGGGACGAAAAGGUUAAUGAAUCUGGAAAACAGCUAUUGAUAAGCAAUGCUUUCAGAGAAAAAUCUUUUUCUUUUUCUUUUUUUGCUUUUUAGGGCCACACCCGAGGCAUAUGGAGGUUCCCAGGCUAGUGGUCGAAUCAGAGCUGUAGCUACUGGCCUACACAACAGCCACAGCAACUUGCCAUCUGAGCCGCAUCUGUGACCUACACCACAGCUCAUGACGCAGGUCCUUAACCCACCAAGCAAGGCCAGGGAUCGAACCCACAACCUCAUGGUUCCUACUCGGAUUCGUUUCUGCUGCGCCACGUGUGAUGGGAACUCCAGAGAGAAAAAUCUUGAUCUCAGGGGAGAAAUGUGGGGAGAUCCCUCAUGCAGCAGGUCAAGGAUCCAGUGGGUUCCAUCCCUGGCCCAGGAACUUUGGCACGCCCCAGGCUUGGCCAGAAAAUAAAAGGGGGUGGGGAAUGUAAAAAUUAAUCAACAGAAAUUUUAUUUAAGAGGAGGCCAGAAGUGGGAGCUCUCCCCUGCUACUGUGUGGCCUCGGUUGCAGAUCUAAGGGGAGGGGUACUGCCUACUGCCCAGCUGGAGGACGUCUCGCUGCUCAGCAACAGCUCAGCCACUCGAAGCCCAGCUGCCUCCAGCGGACUCUGCUUAGAAAGGCCCCCACUCGCCGUUGCCCUCUGCGAGAGAGUUUCCUUUGUCUGCACUCACGUGUGGCUCGUACUAGGUUGCUUGUCCCGAAUUCCAGCUCUUGCUGGUACAUGACCAGCGGCUGUGUCAUUUUAGGUCACAUCAGCAUUUUCACAAAGGCUCUUCCAGGCGUUCGUCAGAUCAUCUCAAUGCCUGCCUUCUCUUGCUUGCCGCCUGCUGGCCCGUGCCCCGCAUGCCGGAUUUUCAUGGUUCUUCAGGCCUGGACUACUUUGUGUGCCAUGCUGAGAGCUGGGAUCUUGCCUCCAUCCAGUGCAGAAUGCUGGGGCCUAACUGCACCCCCGGUGGUGGGAAACGCAAGCGGGGCUCUUUCCGGGACACAGACCUCCUGAAAGAUGUUGGCACGUGUUCCUUCCAGAAGCAGGGCUAACGGUGGAGCUGUGAGUUUCCCCCUAAGGGUGAUGGAAGGUUCUAGACUAGCGGAAGUGCCCCGUCUGUCCACCCCAGGAUGAGGUCUGUCCCUCUAGGGCACAUGUCCAGGGCAGGGGGUGGCUGUUUGGGGUCAUGGGCUGAGCUGGGACGUGUAGGCCAGGGUGUGCACACCCUGUCCCCUGGGGGUGCGGUCUGGACGUCGGGCCUGGCCUUCCAGGUAGUUCUAGAGGUGUCUGUGCCACAGUGGGUGAGGGGCACACCUCAUCAGUUGAGACAGAGCAUUCGGGCCUCUGGCAGACCCGGCCGUGCUUCUCCCUCGACGAGCCUGCUGCACGAGCUGCUUCCCGGGCGGCUGUCCGCAGCAGCUGGCCUCGCCCCGAAUAAUGGCAAGAACCUCCAUGCAGACGCCCGGGGGGAGGCGCUGGCUCCGUGUCCACCAACUAUAUCUUAAGAGCUAUUGCCAGAUGGAUUUCCAAAAAGGCUACAGCAAUCGGCGUGGCCUUCUCACACAGUCACCAGCACAGGGCACGCCACGUCCCUUUACAUUUUUGGUCAAGCCAACAGGGAGGAAGCGCCUCUCUCCCUGUGCUGGCUCUCCGUCAGCCGCCUCGUUUCCUCCUCUGCGAGUUCCGGUCCCACCUUUUCUUCUCCCUCCUUGUCAUCAUUAUAGAAAAACUCUUUGCAU
RNAcentral lists this long non-coding RNA (3181 nucleotides) under Sus scrofa (pig). RNAcentral describes it as "lncRNA (ENSSSCG00055003588.1, ENSSSCG00105021438.1)". Lineage: Eukaryota; Metazoa; Chordata; Mammalia; Artiodactyla; Suidae. The record is from RNAcentral.